Earliella scabrosa is the source of this 85-nucleotide non-coding RNA. The record is from the annotation of a GenBank genome assembly. Lineage: Eukaryota; Fungi; Basidiomycota; Agaricomycetes; Polyporales; Polyporaceae.
GGGCCCGCGUGGCUCAGCGGCAGAGUUGCGUGGAGGGUUCACUACCCUUGUAGUAGAACCGCGGGUUCGAUUCCCGCCGGGCCCA